RNAcentral lists this ribosomal RNA (504 nucleotides) under Bacillus subtilis. RNAcentral describes it as "bacterial SSU rRNA". It matches the Rfam family "Bacterial small subunit ribosomal RNA", at positions 39 to 525 of the family's 1533-position model. The record is from RNAcentral. Lineage: Bacteria; Bacillati; Bacillota; Bacilli; Caryophanales; Bacillaceae.
GCUGGGGCGUGCUUAUACAUGCAGUCGAGCGGACAGAUGGGAGCUUGCUCCCUGAUGUUAGCGGCGGACGGGUGAGUAACACGUGGGUAACCUGCCUGUAAGACUGGGAUAACUCCGGGAAACCGGGGCUAAUACCGGAUGGUUGUUUGAACCGCAUGGUUCAAACAUAAAAGGUGGCUUCGGCUACCACUUACAGAUGGACCCGCGGCGCAUUAGCUAGUUGGUGAGGUAACGGCUCACCAAGGCAACGAUGCGUAGCCGACCUGAGAGGGUGAUCGGCCACACUGGGACUGAGACACGGCCCAGACUCCUACGGGAGGCAGCAGUAGGGAAUCUUCCGCAAUGGACGAAAGUCUGACGGAGCAACGCCGCGUGAGUGAUGAAGGUUUUCGGAUCGUAAAGCUCUGUUGUUAGGGAAGAACAAGUACCGUUCGAAUAGGGCGGUACCUUGACGGUACCUAACCAGAAAGCCACGGCUAACUACGUGCGGUGCCCCCGGGAAAA